Molecule: small nuclear RNA, 191 nt
Filed under: Podiceps cristatus (great crested grebe)
Lineage: Eukaryota; Metazoa; Chordata; Aves; Podicipediformes; Podicipedidae
Description: U2 spliceosomal RNA
Rfam family: U2 spliceosomal RNA
About the family: U2 is a small nuclear RNA (snRNA) component of the spliceosome (involved in pre-mRNA splicing).
Source: Rfam by way of RNAcentral
CUUGUUUCUCAGCCUUUUGUCUAAGAUCAAGUGUAGUAUCUGUUAUUAUCAGUUUAAUAUCUGAUGCAUCCUCAAUAAGAGAACUUUAAUAUAAAUGGAUUUUUGGGCCUAGGAGUUGGACCUGGAGCUUGCUCCCUUUGAUCCACACGUCGUCUUGGUAUUGCAGUGCCUCUGGGAAUGGUGCACCCGUA